RNAcentral lists this ribosomal RNA (408 nucleotides) under alpha proteobacterium BAL100. RNAcentral's name for it is "bacterial SSU rRNA". It matches the Rfam family "Bacterial small subunit ribosomal RNA", at positions 38 to 494 of the family's 1533-position model. The record is from RNAcentral. Lineage: Bacteria; Pseudomonadati; Pseudomonadota; Alphaproteobacteria.
GGCGGCAGGCUUAACACAUGCAAGUCGAGCGCCCCGCAAGGGGAGCGGCAGACGGGUGAGUAACGCGUGGGAAUCUACCCAUCUCUACGGAAUAACUCAGGGAAACUUGUGCUAAUACCGUAUACGCCCUUCGGGGGAAAGAUUUAUCGGAGAUGGAUGAGCCCGCGUUGGAUUAGCUAGUUGGUGGGGUAAUGGCCUACCAAGGCGACGAUCCAUAGCUGGUCUGAGAGGAUGAUCAGCCACACUGGGACUGAGACACGGCCCAGACUCCUACGGGAGGCAGCAGUGGGGAAUAUUGGACAAUGGGCGCAAGCCUGAUCCAGCCAUGCCGCGUGAGUGAUGAAGGCCCUAGGGUUGUAAAGCUCUUUCAACGGUGAAGAUAAUGACGGUAACCGUAGAAGAAGCCCC